CCUACGGGGGGCAGCAGUGGGGAAUCUUCCGCAAUGGGCGAAAGCCUGACGGAGCAACGCCGCGUGAGUGAAGAAGGUCUUCGGAUCGUAAAGCUCUGUUGUUGGGGACGAAAGGAAAAGGGAGGAAAUGCCCUUUUUAAGACGGUACCCGACGAGCAAGCCACGGCUAACUACGUGCCAGCAGCCGCGGUAAUACGUAGGUGGCGAGCGUUGUCCGGAAUGAUUGGGCGUAAAGGGAGCGCAGGUGGGACGGUAAGUCCUUCUUAAAAGCGUGGGGCUCAGCCCCAUGAAGGGAAGGAAACUAUCGAUCUUGAGUGCCGGAGAGGAAAGCGGAAUUCCCAGUGUAGCGGUGAAAUGCGUAGAUAUUGGGAAGAACACCAGUGGCGAAGGCGGCUUUCUGGACGGCAACUG
This 411-nucleotide ribosomal RNA is filed under the name uncultured Leptotrichia sp. RNAcentral's name for it is "bacterial SSU rRNA". It matches the Rfam family "Bacterial small subunit ribosomal RNA", at positions 338 to 742 of the family's 1533-position model. Lineage: Bacteria; Fusobacteriati; Fusobacteriota; Fusobacteriia; Fusobacteriales; Leptotrichiaceae. The record is from RNAcentral.